UACGUAGGGUGCAAGCGUUAAUCGGAAUUACUGGGCGUAAAGCGUGCGCAGGCGGUUUUGUAAGUCUGUCGUGAAAUCCCCGGGCUCAACCUGGGAAUUGCGAUGGAGACUGCAAGGCUAGAAUCUGGCAGAGGGGGGUAGAAUUCCACGUGUAGCAGUGAAAUGCGUAGAGAUGUGGAGGAACACCGAUGGCGAAGGCAGCCCCCUGGGUCAAGAUUGACGCUCAUGCACGAAAGCGUGGGGAGCAAGCAGG
Molecule: ribosomal RNA, 253 nt
Filed under: uncultured bacterium
Lineage: Bacteria
Description: partial 16S ribosomal RNA
Rfam family: Bacterial small subunit ribosomal RNA
Source: RNAcentral